AAGACCCGCAAGGGUAUGCUGAGAGAUGGGCUUGCGGCACAUUAGUUAGUUGGUAAGGUAACGGCUUACCAAGACCAUGAUGUGUAGCUGGACUGAGAGGUUGAACGGCCACAUUGGGACUGAGAUACGGCCCAAACUCCUACGGGAGGCAGCAGUAAGGAAUUUUCGGCAAUGGAGGAAACUCUGACCGAGCAACGCCGCGUGAACGAUGAAGUAUUUAGGUAUGUAAAGUUCUUUUAUUAAAGAAGAAAAAAUGAUGGAAAAAUCAUUCUGACGGUAUUUAAUGAAUAAGCCCCGGCUAACUAUGUGCCAGCAGCUGCGGUAAUACAUGGGGGGCAAGCGUUAUUCCGGAUUUAUUGGGCGUAAAGGGUGCGUAGGGCGGUUUAAUAAGUCUAAUGUAUAAGUUCAACGCUCAACGGUGUGAUGCUAUAGGAACUGUUUGACUAGAGUUGGAUAGAGGCAAGUGGAAUUCCAUGUGUAGCGGUAAAAUGCGUAAAGAUAUGGAGGAACACCCGUAGCGAAGGCGGCUUGCUGGGUUUUAACUGACGCUGAGGCCCGAGAGCGUGGGGAGCAAACAGGAUUAGAUACCCUGGUAGUCCACGCCGUAAACGAUGAGUACUAAGUGUUGGGUUAAACCAGUGCUGAAGUUAACGCAUUAAGUACUCCGCCUGAGUAGUACGUACGCAAGUAUGAAACUUAAAGGAAUUGACGGGACUCCGCACAAGCGGUGGAUCAUGUUGUUUAAUUCGAAGAUACACGAAAAACCUUACCAGGUCUUGACAUACUCUGCAAAGCUAUAGAAAUAUAGUGGAGGUUAUCAGGGAUACAGGUGGUGCAUGGUUGUCGUCAGCUCGUGUCGUGAGAUGUUGGGUUAAGUCCCGCAACGAGCGCAACCCUUAUCGCUAGUUACCAUCAUUUAGUUGGGCACUUUAGUGAGACUGCCAAUGAUAAAUUGGAGGAAGGUGGGGAUUACGUCAAAUCAUCAUGCCCCUUAUGACCUGGGCUACAAACGUGAUACAAUGGCUGUUACAAAGAGUAGCUGAAGCGUGAGUUUUUAGCAAAUCUCAAAAAAACAGUCUCAGUUCGGAUUGAAGUCUGCAACUCGACUUCAUGAAGUCGGAAUCGCUAGUAAUCGCGAAUCAGCAUUCAUACAACCCCAUAAA
Molecule: ribosomal RNA, 1163 nt
Filed under: uncultured bacterium
Lineage: Bacteria
Description: bacterial SSU rRNA
Rfam family: Bacterial small subunit ribosomal RNA
Source: RNAcentral